Molecule: long non-coding RNA, 1797 nt
Filed under: Piliocolobus tephrosceles (Ugandan red Colobus)
Lineage: Eukaryota; Metazoa; Chordata; Mammalia; Primates; Cercopithecidae
Description: lncRNA (ENSPTEG00000035009.1)
Source: RNAcentral
AUGCAGGAGGGCCCCUGUGCUGUUCACUCUCUGUCCAUCCAUCCAUCCGUUCAUCCUUCCAUCCAUCUGUCCUUUCAUCCAUCCAUCAUUCAUCUAUCCUUUUAUCAUCCAUCUAUUCACCCAUCUAUCCAUCCAUUCAUCCUUCCAUCAUCUGUUUACCUGUUCAUCCUUCCAUCCAUCAUCUUCCCGUACACCUGUGGGUCCUUCCAUCCAUCCAUCCAUCCAUCCAUCCAUUCACCUGUUUGUCUUUCCACCCAUUCAUCCAUCAUCCAUCCAUCCAUCAUCCAUCCCUCCGUCCAUCCGUCAUCCAUCCAUCAUCCAUCCAUCCGUCAUUCAUCUGGUCACCUCUUCAUCCAUCCAUUCACCGAUUUGUCCAUCCAUCCAUCCAUCCAUCUUUCCAUUAUCCAGCCAUUCAGCUGUUCAUCCUUCUAUCCAUCCAACCAUCUUCCAUCCAUCCAUCCAUUCACCUGUUCAUCCAUUCACCUGUUCCUCCAUCCCUCCAUCCAUUCUUCCAUCCAUCCUUUCAUCAUCCAUCCAUUCACCUGUUCAUUCUUCCAUGCAUCCAUCAUCCAUUCAUCCAUCAUCCAUCCAUCCUUCCAUCAUUCAUUCACUCGCCUCCUCAUCCUUCCAUCCAUCCAUCCUUUUAUCAUCCAUCCACCUAUUCAUCCUUCCAUCCAUCCAUUCACCUGUUCAUCCUUCCAUCCAUCCAUCACCCAUCCAUCCAUCCAUUUAUCCAUAUAUCCAUCCAUCAUCCAUCCAUCCUCCAUCCACUCAACUCCUGUUCAUCCAUCCAUCCGUUUAUCCAUUCAUCCAUCCAUCCUUCCAUCAUCUAUCCAUCCUUCCAUCAUCCAUCCAUUCAUCCGUUCAUCCUUCCAUCACCCAUUUAUCCAUCCAUCCAUCACCCAUCCAUCUGUCCAUUCAUCCAUCCAUCAUUCAUCCAUCCUUUUAUCAUCCAUCCAUUUACCUGUCUAUCCAUCCAUUUGCCUGUCUAUCCAUCCAUCUUUCCACCAACCAUCCAUUCACUUGUUCAUCCUUCCAUCCAUCAUUCAUCCAUCCAUCCAUUUAUCCAUCCAUCAUCCAUCCUUCCAUCAUCCAAUCAUCCAUCCAUUCAUCAGUUCAUCCUUCCAUCUCAUCCAUCCGUCCACCUCUCCAUCCACCCAUCUGUCCAUUCAUCCAUCCAUCAUUCAUACAUCCUUUUAUCAUCCAUUCAUUCACCUGCUCUUCCAUCCAUCAGUCCAUUCAUCCUUCCAUCAUCCAUCCAUUCACCUGUUCCUCCUUCCAUCCAUCAUCCAUCCAUCCACCUGUUCCUCCUUCCAUCCAUCAUCCAUCCAUCCAUCCAUUUAUCCAUCCAUCAUCCAUCCAUCUUUCCAGUAUCCAUCCACUCACCUCCUGUUCAUCCUUCCAUCCGUCCAUAAUUCAUCCACCCAUCCAUCCAACAUCCAUCCAUUCUUCCAUCAUCCAUCCUUUCACCCAUCCAUCCACUCACCUAUUCGUCCAUCCAUCCAUCAUUCAUCCAUCCACCCACCAAUCUAUCUAUUAAUCCAUCCCUCCAUUCAUCUAUCUGUCCAUUUGUUUAUCCAUACAUUGGUCUAUCCACCAUCUAUCCAUCCAUAUGUACAUACAUCAUCUACCCACCCAUCCAUACAGACAUACACACAUCAUUCCAACCACCCACCCACCCGUCCAUCCAUUCGUCUGUCCAUCCAUCCAUCCAAGCAUUCAUCUAUCCACAUACCCAUCCAUCCAUGUGUCUAUACAUCUGCUCAUCCAUUCAUCCAUCCAUCCACUCAUUCCUAA